Molecule: RNA transcript, 5164 nt
Organism: Malaclemys terrapin pileata
Lineage: Eukaryota; Metazoa; Chordata; Testudines; Emydidae
Gene: FBXL2
Gene name: F-box and leucine rich repeat protein 2
Exons: 17
Source: RefSeq, a predicted model, not a curated record
UCGGCUGCGCGCGCAGACCCUGCGCUUGGCAGUGGCUGCUCUGGGCUCCUUGUCACCAGGACAACCGGCCCCGCCGCACCGCGUUUGCCAUGGUUUUCUCAAACAGUGAUGAAGCCCCCAUUAACAAAAAGUUACCCAAAGAACUUCUGUUAAGAAUAUUUUCCUUCUUGGAUAUUGUCACUUUGUGCCGAUGUGCGCAAGUUUCCAAGGCAUGGAAUGUCUUGGCUCUGGAUGGAAGUAACUGGCAAAGAAUAGAUCUUUUUAACUUUCAGACAGAUAUAGAGGGUCGUGUGGUGGAAAAUAUUUCCAAAAGGUGUGGUGGAUUCCUGAGACAGCUUAGUUUGAGAGGAUGUCUUGGUGUUGGAGACUCCGCUUUGAAGACAUUUGCACAGAACUGUAGAAACAUUGAACAUUUGAAUCUAAACGGAUGUACAAAAAUUACUGACAGCACGUGUUAUAGCCUUAGCAAAUUCUGUACCAAGCUGAAACAUCUGGAUCUGACAUCCUGUGUAUCUAUUACAAACAGCUCUUUGAAAGGUUUAAGUGAGGGUUGCAGAAAUCUGGAACAUUUGAAUCUUUCCUGGUGUGAUCAGAUUACGAAGGAUGGUAUUGAAGCACUGGUGAAAGGGUGCAGUGGACUAAAAGCACUAUUUCUUAGAGGUUGCACACAGUUGGAAGAUGAAGCACUGAAACACAUUCAAAAUCACUGUCGUGAACUUGUAAUCCUGAACUUGCAGUCAUGCACACAAAUUUCAGAUGAAGGCAUUGUAAAAAUUUGUAGAGGAUGCCACAGACUUCAGUCACUGUGUGUUUCUGGUUGUAGCAACCUUACAGAUGCUUCUCUCACAGCACUUGGUCUAAACUGUCCGAGAUUGAAGAUUUUGGAAGCUGCAAGGUGUUCCCAUCUGACAGAUGCAGGUUUUACACUUUUAGCACGGAAUUGCCACGAACUGGAAAAGAUGGACUUAGAAGAGUGCAUUCUGAUAACAGAUAACACAUUGAUACAACUUUCUGUUCACUGUCCUAAACUGCAAGCAUUGAGCUUAUCUCACUGUGAACUGAUCACAGAUGAUGGGAUUCUGCAUCUGAGCAACAGUACCUGUGGUCAUGAAAGGCUCCAGGUCCUAGAGUUAGACAAUUGUCUUCUUAUCACCGAUGUGACCCUGGAGCACCUAGAGAACUGCCACAGUUUGGAGAGAAUUGAGUUAUAUGACUGUCAGCAAGUCACACGAGCAGGAAUCAAAAGAAUAAGAGCUCAUUUACCUGAUGUGAAAGUUCAUGCCUACUUUGCUCCAGUCACCCCUCCUCCUUCUGUAGGAGGUAGUCGACAGCGACUCUGCAGGUGCUGCAUUAUUCUUUGACAGUAGGAGCAUCAGCAGAAGAAGAAAAAGAUUCCUUUAAUUAUGGAAACAAAAUCAGACUGCAAGUGGCUUGCAGAGUGUCAGUUUCUUAACAGCCCUAGGAGUGAUGUCACAGUCAUCCAAUUUUGUGCUGGUACUGACUCAAGAAAGGUGUUUUUGCAGAGGAGUGGAAGAGAAUGCAGCAGUGUGGAGGAAGGAGAUACGGUCACAUGGAGGAUCUUACUUGAAUACUGAGUGUCUGCACAUGUGCAGAGAGUAGGGCAUGGUAACUCAAAGACCCAGAAACUUCCAGAACAGAGUGGUAGUUACCAGACAUUCUCAGUUGCUGUUCUGAGGCUGUAUAGGAAGUUUUCACUGUGGGCUACUCACUUAGCAGUCAUAUUCUAGUCACCCUCAGAGAGCUGAGCCAACCAGAGAGCAGUGGAUGGAGUGGUUAUAAAUAGAAGUGUUAAAAGUAGCCCCAUAGACUCAACAGGUGAUUAUCUCAUGGUUCUGUGUCAAUCUGCUGUGAGGGCUGGGUCCCAAUCCCUGUACCACCUUGGACACAGGCUGCAGAUUUCUGUUUCCCCACAACUGAGAGCACCUGUCAGCUAUUAACCCAAGGUUUAGAAUGCUGCUAGCUGUGGAGGCCCACAUUGUUUGCUGACAGGGUUCUAAAGUGUUUGAAAGGACUGAAAUGCUGCCAUUUCUCAGGCUCUGAAGAGUCCAGAUGACAUACUGUGGUCACACUACAAAGAGCGAGAAAGCACCUGUUUGAAGAUCAGAGGGGAAUGCGUUUUGAUAGGUGCACUAAUGUACAGAAAACGUCGUAUUAAAACCUUGUAUUUGAAUGUUUCUAACAGAAAUAAAAGGGGGAAGUCUGUAUAAGGAACACCAGCAGAUUUACUGUUUAAUAGCUUUUAUUUAAAAGUUAUUCACAGCAUUCCAAAUACUAUUUACCAUGUUUUAUGCUGUUUACAAGUGUUUUGUGUGCAUUAAAUGUUUGUUUUACUAAGAAAAUGUAUGGUACUCACUCUCUGAAGCUGACUGGGAACUAUUAGCAUCCAUUUAUCAAGGUUUACAUAUAAUAGCCCUGAAGUUUAACUGUCAUGUGUUUCUGAAAAGUCCUUACAAGACAGAACUCUAGUCUGUGCUUCAGCAAAGAGUUAAGCUGAGGUUCAGUAUAGUUAGACACAAUAUUGCAUGAGCAGCCCAUGUACCCCAUUACAUAAACAAGUCAAAAACUGAAGUGUACUAUGAACUGAAAAUUAUUCUAAUUUUGUAUUUCAAUUAACUUUUGUUUAAAAGAAUUAAGCUCUGUACAGUACAAGCCUUACACUUGCAAAACUUAACAUUCAGCAUAUUAUAAACUCCACAUUUGCAAAGAUUAGGAAGUUUGAGAAGUAUGGCUCAUAACAGAGCCCUUUAAUCACUGAAAGCCUUCAGCCUGUAGUUCUACAGGUCCUCCCUUGAGACAGAGAAGACAUGAAAUGCAGGAUUAAAAACAACAACAAGUCUCCUGGGCUUAAAGAGUCUUGACUACAAGAGAAGAAAGAGUAGUGAAGACCUAAUGAAAUCAUUAUGAAAAGGGCUAGGUCCAUUUUUGCCAAAUGUAAGGGAAGUUCUAUCUUUCUCUAGAGACUAAGCUCUGGCUUUCCAGCACUUAAGAGGGAUGCAAACUGGAGAUCUCCUUCCCACAGGACGACACCUGCCUGACAACUAGCAGCAGCAAUAUGCACUUAGCAGGAGGCCACAUCCAAAGAGAGAUUCACUGAGCACGGGGAGAAGAACUCCCUGGGCAUUACCAUACUCUAAAAUACCUAAUUUAGUCAGAAAGGAAAAAGAGGUUCAAAAACGUAAACACUGGAAGUCGAGCCUUGCCAUCUGAAAGAGCUGCCUCCACCUAAUUAGAAAUGUUAACAUGCUUUAUAGGGAGAGACACAUGUUGAGCACUGAUUUUUUUUUUGUUUCCCCUGUAUACAUCUGCUGAUGGACAUCCUGCCCAGCAGCAGAAGAAUGUCUGAGUUGACAAUGGAUACUGCAGAAGAAAUGCAACAGCUUCAACUAAGGAACUAGUUCCUAACAGCAAGUUAGAAAAAGUUUUGGUUAGCACUACUGAUAAGACGGAGUCAGAAGAGAUGGAUUCUUUGCUCAGCGGCCACUGGGCUGCUCCGUGACCUUCAGCAAGACACUUAAGAUCUGUUUUUCUAAGGUGAUGAGUACUCACAGCUACCAACUGACUUCAACUGAAGUUGCAGGUGUUCAGCACUUCUGAAAAAAAUCAAGCUCUCAAAUCUUUGUGCUUCAGCUUCCUCUAUCUGCAAAAUGCAAUAACUCACAGCAAAACACAAAGCUUUAUAUGGGACAGAGUCAAAGUGCUAAUUUCAUACUUUCAGACGUUUAAGUUUCUUGAAGUUUAACUUCAGCUCUGAAUUCCAAAGGGCUUUUGUCUGUUUUUGUUUAAACUACAACAGUCUUAUACUAAAAAACAAAACAAAACAAAAAACCCACAAAAAACCCCACAACAACCAGUAAGUUAUGACGUACUCUCAACAUUAAUUUUAAAUAAACAAUGAUUUUGUCUGGUUUCCUUAUUAUUUUCUUUUUAAAUAAUUAUGACAGCUAUAGGGAGGUAAGAAGGAGAACACCCUGCAGAGCUUCUAAGUAAAAGGGAAGCAGGAGCAAGUGACUCAUGGAAGCCAUCUGGGAAUUAGGUCCAGAGACCUGCAUGACUGAUUGAUCUUCUGGUGCCAGAGAAAGUAUGCAAAGCUCUAUAAACUACCUAUGCUGGGCUCCUGCUGAUGCCUGCUACCUUGCACUUUGUAAAUUCCAAAGCCCUUUAGCUGGCUUAUAAUAGAAAGCAAGUCUUCAAUCUUAACUAUGGAGUAGCUACCUUCUCCCUAAUACUACUCAACUGUGAUUAAAAAAAUUAAGGACAGAUAUUACUAUUUGUUAUUCAGAGCAGACAAUGUACAGUGAUGAUCAAAGUAAUCAAAAUAAAGAAGUCUCUAUCCCGAAGAGACUGAAGCUUGCAAGAUAGAAGAUGGGUUGCAGUGGAAAGCAAAAAGGUGAGGGACAGUUAGGGUUUUUUAAAACUGCCUUCUUAUGGGCCUUGCUAUAUACACACAGAAUGUUCUUCCCUUCUGCCAGCAAGGCAGGUCAGUUGAAGGUAAAAACCUAAUAUGCAGACCAAAAGCAUAUCUGAUUUUCAGAACCACCAUCUUGAUCAUAUUUUGAAGGAAUGCUACCAGGGGAGACUACACAGAUAGAACUGUUUCGCUUAGAAAAAAAAAAGAGACCACUAAAGUGGGAUAUGAUAGCAGUCUAAACAAACAUGAAUAGUGUGGAAAAAGUGAAUAGACAAAUGUUAUUUUUCCUUUCCCACAAUGCAACAGCUUCCAUAACCCUGAUCAUCUUUGUUGCUCUUCUCUGAACCUUUUCCAGUUCCGCUAUAUCCUCUGAGAUGGGGCGACUAGAAAUGGACAGAGUAUGCAACGUGUGCACACCAUGGAUUUGUUUUAUUUAGUUAUUUUGUCAAGUUACUCAGAUUUGAUUUUAUCCAGCCAUGUUAGCUGGAAGGAAAAUACUUAAUUUUCCUUUAAUAUUCCCUGGCUCCCAACCAGACUAAGCUACGGGGAUCUCAACCAGGGGGUUGUGACUGCUUCUACUUUCUUUAUGGUUAGAUUAAGAGGUCUGGGGGAGAAAGGGUUCCAAAUUUUUUUCCUGUUGCAAUGUGGGGUAAGAGUAGAAAAAAAAGUUGAAAUCCACUGGACUAACUUGGCAACCAGCAUCGAUCUCUCAUUACUAUUAUCUAGAGAACAACU